This 2328-nucleotide ribosomal RNA is filed under the name Triticum aestivum (bread wheat). RNAcentral describes it as "partial small subunit ribosomal RNA". The record is from RNAcentral. Lineage: Eukaryota; Viridiplantae; Streptophyta; Magnoliopsida; Poales; Poaceae.
AUGGACGCAACUGAUCUAGAGAAUCCAACAUCCAGAAACUCAUCUCAGAAAUCCAGCCGCCGUUCCAGUAGCCGGCGUUCUCAAAAGUCAGCUGGGCAACAAUCUUCCCCCACUGUAUUUCCAGAGAAAAGAGGCAAAUCUAGAUCUUUGAGGCAAAAGCAUGUGGCUGUUGACAAUAAAGAUGCCAAAAAGGGUAAAAACCAUGAGCGUAGAACUGAUACGGUGGAUGAGAGGUCCAAUUUUGUAGGUUUCGAAGUCUAUUCUGGCAAACUGUUUUAUGACAGGAAAAAUAAAAGUAUAGGGGCGGAUGGUCAUCUGUCAUCAAACAAGAAAGCUGAUACAACUGAUGCAAGACUCACAAGUAAAGCCCUUAUAUGGGGUUCUACUGUACUCAGCCUUGAGGAUGUCAUCUCUGUAUCUUAUAAUUCUGGCCUCCAACAUUUUACUUUACAUGCAUAUCCUGCUAAGAACUCUCUAUUUGGAAAGGCACAUAGAGCUCGGAAGGACUUCCGGUUUAUGGCCUCUACACUAGACGAGGCCAUUUUGUGGGUAACAUGCUUUGCAGAACAGAACAUAUACAUUAAUGUACUGCCUCAUCCUGCAACAUCCAGUAUUAAGCAAGACACAGAUGCCCCCCUUGGUGGGGUUCUAUUUGAUUACCCGCCAAUCAAAUGCAGAACUCCGCAGAGAAUACUUGUUAUAUUGAACCCUCGUUCUGGACAUGGUCGAUCAAUUAAAGUUUUCCAUGAAAAAGCAGAACCUAUAUUUAAGCUUGCAGGUUUUCACAUGGAAGUAGUUAAAACUACUCACGCUGGUCAUGCGAAGUCUCUCGCGUCUACUUUUGAUUUUGGCGCAUUCCCUGAUGGGAUUGUCUGUGUUGGCGGUGAUGGAAUAGUAAAUGAGGUGUUCAACGGUCUUCUCACCAGAAGCGAUAGAACAGAAGCUGUGUCAAUUCCAGUUGGAAUAAUCCCAGCAGGAUCGGACAACUCACUUAUUUGGACUGUUCUGGGAGUUAAGGAUCCUAUUUCUGCUUCAUUGUUGAUUGUUAAGGGUGGCUUUACAACCCUAGACAUAUUGGCUGUUGAGUGGCUCCAAUCCGGGCUAAUACAUUUCGGCACAACUGUUUCAUACUAUGGUUUUGUUAGUGAUGUAUUUGCAGAAGUGCAGCAUGGCAUAGCACUGAAAAAGUUUACUGAGCUGAAAAACUAUUUCAACUUUGCUGCAGUCCUGGAACUUUCCGAGAAAUACCAGAAGAGAUUUGGCCCUCUUCGAUAUUUUGUGGCUGGAGUACUCAAAUUUUUGUGUCUACCAAGUUACUUCUAUGAGUUAGAAUAUCUUCCUUUGUCCAAGGACAUGUCCGGGCAUGGAAAAGGUACAGGACAAGACAAAGUUGAAUUGUCUGAUGUCUAUACAGAUGUAAUGCGCAGUCGAUCAAAAAGAGAAGGAUUUCCACGAGCUUCCAGUUUUUCAAGUAUUGACUCUAUCAUGACUCCAAGUAGGAUGUCUCUUGGGGACUUUGACACAUCAGGUGGUACAGCGGCAAGCAGUGAACCGUCAGAGUAUGUUCGUGGUCUUGAUCCAAAAGCAAAACGGCAAUCUAUGGGCAGAAGCAACAUUGUUUCGGAACCAGAAGAAGUCCUACGCCCUCAACAGCAUCAUGCAUCAUACUGGCCAAGAACGAGGUCCAAAACAAGGACCGAUAGAAAUUCAGUUGGUGUCACAGCUUCUAAUGAUACACGGUUAUCUUGGGCAGCCCCUUCAAUGCAUGAUAAGGAGGACAUUUCCUCGACAAUAUCAGAUCCAGGACCUAUUUGGGACAAUGAACCAAAGUGGGACACUGGGCCAAGAUGGGACACAGAGCCAACUUGGGAGCCUGACCACCCUAUCGAACUUCCUGAACCACCAGAAGAUAUAGAAAUCGGAACAUCUAUGGAACUUGUGCCGAAUUUGGAUGAGAAAUGGGUUGUCAGGAAGGGGCACUUUCUUGGUGUCCUAGUAUGUAACCACUCAUGCAAAACAGUUCAAAGUUCCCAGAUUGUCGCGCCAAAUGCGAGCCAUGAUGACAACAGUCUGGACUUACUUUUAGUUGGCGGAAGGGGGAGAUGGAAGCUGUUGAGAUUUUUCAUACUACUGCAAUUUGGUCGCCACCUUUCUUUACCAUAUGUGGAAUAUGUGAAGGUGAAAUCAGUCAAGGUUAAACCUGGUGCAAACACCCACAAUGGCUGUGGGAUAGACGGGGAGCUCUGCCGCGUCAAGGGGCAGGUAGUCUGCUCCAUGCUACCGGAGCAGUGCAGGCUUAUUGGCCGGCAAUGUAAACAGCCUAUUUAA